Molecule: non-coding RNA, 509 nt
Organism: Odocoileus virginianus texanus
Lineage: Eukaryota; Metazoa; Chordata; Mammalia; Artiodactyla; Cervidae
Source: RefSeq, a predicted model, not a curated record
UCCCCCUGGCCCGUGGUCCCCCAGCCCGUGGUCCUUGCCUGGGCCUUCUCCCCGCUGGGCCUCCACAGCAGCCCUGGACUCUCAGAACCCCUUUCCCUCGCAGUCAGCCCAGGGCGCCUCCUCCCUCACCUGCGUUCAGCAAACGUGUGCUGUGCCAUCUCUGCUCCCGGCCUGAGCACGGUCCGUCUGCCGCCUGUCCCCGAGGACCCAGGUCAGCGAGGGGAGCUCAGGGACGAGCAGGGUCGGACAAUCAGCCUGGAAGAAUGAGGUGGAAGAGAGAGCCAAAGGGAUCUUCUAGAGCAACCUUCUACUCCUGCUCAACGUUGCUGGGAAGGGGAACAUUUCUACAGAACCUAAAUGUUCAGUUUUGGGGGGCUGGUUAAACAUCUGGCUACAAUCCAGCGGUGGCCCAUGGACUCAUCCAGGAUAAAAACGCACACCUGCCUAUACACAUAGGACCGUGCCUGCAUGUCCAGCAUUCCGAGCAGACAAGACCAGGGCUAACAGGA